Molecule: transfer RNA, 67 nt
Filed under: Dorylomorpha xanthopus
Lineage: Eukaryota; Metazoa; Arthropoda; Insecta; Diptera; Pipunculidae
Description: tRNA-Ser
Source: RNAcentral
GAAGUAUGUUGUUCUAUAAAAAGCUGCUAACUUUUAUAUAUAAUAGUUAAAUUCUAUUUAUACUUCU